Python bivittatus (Burmese python) is the source of this 3914-nucleotide long non-coding RNA. RefSeq lists it as uncharacterized. The record is from RefSeq and is a predicted model, not a curated record. NCBI's taxonomy places the organism in Eukaryota, Metazoa, Chordata, Lepidosauria, Squamata, Pythonidae.
CUUGUCCUUGCGGACGACUUGUCUUUGCUGAAUACUUCUGGCUGAGAUCCGCCAUCGUGCCAGCUGCGGGGAGCGAGUAGUGCUGCUCCCACCGAAGAAACUGCAGAGGCUGGAGCCCAGCCUGACUUGGCGCGUACAGCUUUACAGUACCUGGAGGUAAACUGUCCCGAAUUCAGCUGAAAAGCAGAUGAAGACAAUAUUGUGCUGCUAAAGAGAUGCCAGGGCAUGCGGGUACUGUGUAUGAGCACACAUACUGUAGCGCCUCCCAUCCCCGAAUAAGCAUUUCCUCUGAGAUUCUUGAAAUUGCAAUUCCAAUACAUCUGGAGUUUGCCAAACUGAGGAAGGAUGCUCUGCUUGAAGAGCUGUCUGUCCAAGUUGGGUUAAAGCCUUCUUGUUUUCCUUCAUUUUGGCUGAACCAGCUUCUGACAGGUCACUUCUAAACAUCUUUCCCUCCUACAAGCGUUUCAUCUCCCAUCCCACCAGGACCAGAGACACUGAACUGCAAUCUCAGGUCCACCAUCUUUGGUUACGAGCUUGAUCCUGAUCAGAAGUCACAGGUGGUUGGAGAGAUCAAAUGCUACAUAGAUACUUAAUAUAGAUGUGCACAGCCUUCAUGCUAUUUCCUUUCAGGUCACCCAGUACAUUCCUUGCAAGAGCUCUCUCCUUGCCACAAGAAAAUUAGCCUCCAUCGUACAGGCAGGCACCUGACCCAAGUCCUGUUGAACCCAUCAGAGCCUAAUCCCAUCAAGACCUUGCCAAGGGCUGGUAGAAAAGCUUGCAGGGUUGAAGUCAAGACUAUAAGACAAGACACCACAAAGAUUUCAUCAGACCAAUCACCAAAGCCAUGCUUCUUAUAGUCAAUGAAGAAAGAUACGUUAUAAGCUGCUCCUCUGAGAAGCAACACACCCCUUCUAAGAUUGAAGCAAAAGGUGAGCACUGCUUUGCUUUGCUUCUCAGCCCCUCUUCAACACAGUUUCUCUGGCAGCACUCAACAAACCUUGAUGAACAAGCAUUGUGGGAGGCCACAUCCACCCCUUCCAAUCCUAUAAUUCUGUGAUUUCUCUGGCAUGCUGUCUCCAAGAAGCCUCUCCUGACCUUGGCAAGGGACCGAAAGGAGACAAGAAGCUCAGUGGCAACAUGAACAACUUUGUCAGUGCAAAUUGUGUUGUCUGUUUGCUUGACAUCUCUUCAAUGGGAAUCCCUUCGUUAACACAAACUGAGACUGCCUUGUACAAACCUAUUCUGGAGUCUCCGUCUUUUUCAUCGAUUCCUACUGAGGUUGGAUACGGAUGUAAUACGCUAAUAUCCAACUGAUGAUGCAAUUCCGAGUGUUUUCAAUAGAUUGGAAUCUAUUGAACAAGAGUAUUCACAAUGUUCCAGGUUUGGAAUAGCCAUUCUGAUUCUUCGGAGCUUUAUCCAAAACCCAUAAUACAAUGGACAUUCCAUUUUAUGUUGUUUUGAAUGUUCUAUGAUUGGCUUGUUCCUUUUCUAAAAAAACCAACACCCAGCUAUAGAAACUUAGAAAAGCACAUUAGCCAAUAAAACACUGGGCAAAAGGUUUAUUCCUACUUCCAUUAGCUGGAGCUACUCAAGGCAUAAGGCAGUGAGGAAGAAUAAAAGCACAUGUUCAGAGACAGAGAAUAAGUUAUCUAAAAUAAAGACUGUUUCCUGCUAGAGUACAAGUUUAUUGCUGCAUUAAAAAUCUGUUAAGAGGAAGAAUUCAUGGGUUGGAAUUGAAUAGAUUUAUUCCAUGGUUUGGGUGCAUUACACUUCUGUCUGAAUUACUCUCCAUGUUUUUACCACAUGGAACUUAAUUACUUUGUAAGGCUCAUAACUGCUCAUAAAUUUCUCUUAAACCCCACGUAGGUACUUCUAUCGACGGAAAUAAACCUUUCCUUUUCCUGAAUUUUGUAGAAUCUAGAAUCAUGCUCUUAGCCCUUAAUGAGUAUAAUCUACAAUAUUUGUUACCCAUCUGUGUUUACACAGAUUUUAUGUUGUGCAUGAUAUGGUGUAAUUUAGUUAUUUAAUUAAAUAAAAUAUAUGUGUGAAGGAGACCUUCACAGGAUUCUAGCCUUCAUCCACAGAGAAGAUCAAAAUGCACAUUUCUCUACAGUGUCUAUCAAUCUUCAAAGCCACGCAUUGCAAUUCUUUAUAAUGAUGACAAUAUUCCAUUUUUCAAAGUAUUUGUAGCCCUUAAGGCCAGAUGGAAGGAUCGUAGAAUCAGUAUUGAAAAGUACCUCAGAGGUACCAAAUCCUGUCUGGUGCAGGAAUUGGUAAUAUCUUUCAGACAGAUGACUAUCCAAGCCUCUGAAAACCUCCAGAGAAAGAAAACAUAUCACUUCUUGAGGCAACCUAUUCCAGUUGUUGACAGCUCUCAUUAUAUCCUUAGUAUAUGACUACAGACCUUGCUGCCUUUCCUAAUUUGUAGCCUCACCUCUCUUACCCAAACAGGAAAUAUCCUGUUCUUUUAACUCUACUUCCUUUUUACAAUUUUGCACUCAGUUUGAUGCUAAGAGCUUAUUCCACUGCUGGAAUGCUAGAUUUUAUAUUCCUUGUCUAUUUAUUAAUCCCAGGCUGUUUAUCAUGUUUCUCCUUCAAAUGUUUUAACCCUUUAAUCUACCCAGAGAACUUUGAUUGAUGGGCAGAUUAAAAUGGUCAUCAUCAUCAUCAAAGAAUUUAAUCAGCCUGGACAUUGUUUCCUAUUGGAGAGGCACAUGCAUUCUUCUCCAUGGCUCAGAUCCAUUCUCCCUUGUAUGAAUCAGAAGAAAACUGAACCAGAGUAUGGGCCGACAUAUAAAUAAUGUGAAACAAAUAUAAUUUGCUGUCCCAGUUGUUUCUAUCCUCACUUUUCAGGCAAGAAAGGCUGCUGCACUGCCUCUCCCCACCCCACCCCCAGCUUCUCCAUGUCCCCAGCUGGCAGUAAACCACCCAGUAACAUCCCUGCUGUGACUGCCAAUGACAGAUGAUUAUAUCACAGGUUUAGCCAUCUGUCAGAACCCACCCUUCCAAGGGGAAGGAGGGGAGCCCAUCAGAUCACUAGGAAUCGGUCUGAGUAGCCCAAACAUCAGGUGACAGGGUGGGACAUUGCAAGAGCACUCUCUCUCUCUCUCUUUGCUGCUGCACCAUGCAAUCCCCCCCCCCCAAACUAAAGCUGUUGUUUGGGCUACUUCUGAAUGCAGGUUUAGUGCUUUUCUAGAAGAGUGCUAAAACCAUGUACAAAAGCAGCCUGAACAACAGCAGGCAGAUAGGGUUGGGGGGACUGUGCCUGCUCUCUCUCUCUCUCUCCACUGUCUAGCCCUCUCACCAGCACUAUUGGUCAACUACUAUUCACAAUUGGACCCCCACUGCCCAAAGCAGAAUGACCCUGGGUGCAGGGGGGAGGGGAUGUGCCUGCACCAACCUAAAGGGGCCAGUAGGUGCCAGGCUGAUCCACAGGGGUCACCUGGCACCAUCCGUGAAAAGGCUGAAAGUGCAUCAGACUGUACCCACAGUAAAACUGCUGUGGCUUGUUGGCUGCUUAAGGGGGAGACCUGGAAGAGCUAAGAGUGGCUUGAGCUGCCUGGGUGGAGGUAAAGGCCAUGUCUUGGGGAUAUGGCAGAUAAAAGUGAUUUCUGGGCUCUGUUCUGUGGUGGUUAUAUGCAGGACCAAAGAGCACCCACGAGUUUGCAUGGCCCAAAGUAUUUAUGCUUUUAUCUUGUAUUUUAUUCUCUGUUAGUCGUAUGUUUCAGAUGGGCAGUCAUAUAAAUCAAUGGAGGAGCAAACUCUACUUUAAACCCUGAACUUUAAUGGGAAUUCUCUUCUUCCUCCUUCUGGUCCGUUCCACUAUGUAGCCCUGGCUGCAAGAGGCAAAGCAGAAUCUCUGCGAAAAUUCGUCGUCGCUCGCACGGAUCUCGGUCCCCGCACGGCUGGCGAAC